RNAcentral lists this ribosomal RNA (486 nucleotides) under uncultured bacterium. RNAcentral's name for it is "partial 16S ribosomal RNA". It matches the Rfam family "Bacterial small subunit ribosomal RNA", at positions 30 to 507 of the family's 1533-position model. The record is from RNAcentral.
AUUGAACGCUGGCGGCAUGCCUUACACAUGCAAGUCGAACGGCAGCACGGGUGCUUGCACCUGGUGGCGAGUGGCGAACGGGUGAGUAAUACAUCGGAACAUGUCCUGUAGUAGGGGAUAGCCCGGCGAAAGCCGGAUUAAUACCGCAUACGAUCUACGAAUGAAAGCGGGGGACCUUCGGGCCUCGCGCUAUAGGGUUGGCCGAUGGCUGAUUAGCUAGUUGGUGGGGUAAAGGCCUACCAAGGCGACGAUCAGUAGCUGGUCUGAGAGGACGACCAGCCACACUGGGACUGAGACACGGCCCAGACUCCGACGGGAGGCAGCAGUGGGGAAUUUUGGACAAUGGGCGAAAGCCUGAUCCAGCAAUGCCGCGUGUGUGAAGAAGGCCUUCGGGUUGUAAAGCACUUUUGUCCGGAAAGAAAUCCUUGGCCCUAAUACGGUCGGGGGAUGACGGUACCGGAAGAAUAAGCACCGGCUAACUACGUG